RNAcentral lists this ribosomal RNA (450 nucleotides) under uncultured Glomus. RNAcentral's name for it is "SSU rRNA". It matches the Rfam family "Eukaryotic small subunit ribosomal RNA", at positions 569 to 1024 of the family's 1831-position model. Lineage: Eukaryota; Fungi; Glomeromycota; Glomeromycetes; Glomerales; Glomeraceae. The record is from RNAcentral.
AGCAGCCGCGGUAAUUCCAGCUCCAAUAGCGUAUAUUAAAGUUGUUGCAGUUAAAAAGCUCGUAGUUGAAUUUCGGGGUCAGUAGGUUGGUCAUGCCACUGGUAUGUACUGGUCUCACUGAUUCCUCCUUCCUGAUGAGCCGUAAUGCCAUUAAUUUGGUGUUGCGAGGAAUCUGGACUGUUACUUUGAAAAAUUAGAGUGUUUAAAGCAAGCUAACGCUUGAAUACAUUAGCAUGGAAUAAUGAAAUAGGACGUUCGAUCCUAUUUUGUUGGUUUCUAGGAUUGACGUAAUGAUUAAUAGGGAUAGUUGGGGGCAUUAGUAUUCAAUUGUCAGAGGUGAAAUUCUUGGAUUUAUUGAAGACUAACUACUGCGAAAGCAUUUGCCAAGGAUGUUUUCAUUAAUCAAGAACGAAAGUUAGGGGAUCGAAGACGAUCAGAUACCGUCGUAGU